This 396-nucleotide ribosomal RNA is filed under the name uncultured bacterium. RNAcentral's name for it is "partial 16S ribosomal RNA". It matches the Rfam family "Bacterial small subunit ribosomal RNA", at positions 523 to 918 of the family's 1533-position model. The record is from RNAcentral.
AUACAGAGGGUGCAAGCGUUAAUCGGAUUUACUGGGCGUAAAGCGCGCGUAGGUGGCUAAUUAAGUCAAGUGUGAAAUCCCCGAGCUUAACUUGGGAAUUGCAUUCGAUACUGGUUAGCUAGAGUAUGGGAGAGGAUGGUAGAAUUCCAGGUGUAGCGGUGAAAUGCGUAGAGAUCUGGAGGAAUACCGAUGGCGAAGGCAGCCAUCUGGCCUAAUACUGACACUGAGGUGCGAAAGCAUGGGGAGCAAACAGGAUUAGAUACCCUGGUAGUCCAUGCCGUAAACGAUGUCUACUAGCCGUUGGGGCCCUUGAGGCUUUAGUGGCGCAGCUAACGCGAUUAGUAGACCGCCUGGGGAGUACGGUCGCAAGACUAAAACUCAAAGGAAUUGACGGGG